GCUUUGCGUGAGUGAUGGCAGUGGAGCUCUUUAUAGAAAAGCCUUUUUUGGGGCUCUUCUAUAAAAGCGGGAACGAACAGCACGACCCUCA
Molecule: small RNA, 91 nt
Organism: Flavobacterium sp. FPG59
Lineage: Bacteria; Pseudomonadati; Bacteroidota; Flavobacteriia; Flavobacteriales; Flavobacteriaceae
Rfam family: Flavo-1 RNA
Source: Rfam